CCCUUAGAUGUUCUGGGCCGCACGCGCGCUACACUGAUGCAUUCAACGAGUUUCUUCCUGGUCCGAGAGGAAUGGGUAACCUUUUGAAAGUGCAUCGUGAUAGGGAUAGACUAUUGCAAUUAUUGGUCUUCAACGAGGAAUUCCUAGUAGACGUAGUUCAUCAGACUGCAUCGAUUACGUCCCUGCCCUUUGUUCACACCGCCCGUCGCUCCUACCGAUUGAAUGCUCAGGUGAGCCAUUCGGACUUUCAUCAUGCUGGUUUCCAGUUUUGAUGAAGGAAAGUCUUGCGAACCUUAUCAUUUAGAGGAAGGAGAAGUCGUAACA
This 324-nucleotide ribosomal RNA is filed under the name uncultured eukaryote. RNAcentral's name for it is "partial 18S ribosomal RNA". It matches the Rfam family "Eukaryotic small subunit ribosomal RNA", at positions 1470 to 1796 of the family's 1831-position model. The record is from RNAcentral.